This is a long non-coding RNA of Xiphophorus couchianus (Monterrey platyfish), 5249 nucleotides long. RefSeq lists it as uncharacterized. The record is from RefSeq and is a predicted model, not a curated record. The transcript has 2 exons. NCBI's taxonomy places the organism in Eukaryota, Metazoa, Chordata, Actinopteri, Cyprinodontiformes, Poeciliidae.
AUAACAACUGACGGUAACGUCGUUACUUGAUUGUGCUAUAAAACUAAAUACUACUGAAAUGUUUUCACAUCGAUUCCUCCCUCCUGGAUUUUUCAGUCGUGUUUGUGAUUUUUUUUUUUGUUUGUUUUUGCAAUUGAAAUAACUGAAUUUGUUAAGCUACUUUAGAGAUAUUUACAAUGAAUUAUGCAAUAUUUGUCUUGAUGCAUGACAACAAAUGGGACUUUUUCUUACUCCCAAUUUUGAUCUCAUACUUCAACUUGACAUGAAGUAAGGCUGGAGCCUUACUUCCAGCCUUGGUGUUUCUUACUGCCAACGUGGCAGUAAGAAAUACUGCCACAUUGGCAAUACUUAUACCUGAUGUUUUUGACCAUAUUUGUGAAAUAUUUGCAAUAAACUCACAAUUAUGCAUUAUGCGGGGGAUAUGUUGCUUUUGCGCUAAUUUCUGCGAUCUCUGGAAGGUGACAAACUGGAGGGCCAGAUAGAUGUAAUUUGGGACUUUGCAGACAAAAACUGCUUUGAUUUGAUUGAUACAAGAAUAUUGAAGCCCACAACUAUUAUCCUAAAGGCUCUGUUCAUAUCCAUGUGUCUGUUUAGUCUAGAUGGCCACAUUAAAAGUUAUGGUGGGCCGGAUUCAACCAACAUGGACUUCUACAAGUUCUGUCUAAAGAGCUUUGUGACUUUUCCAGGCAUGAUGAAGGCAGGUUCAUAGAUAAACUUAAAAACACUCUUAGAGCUGGGAUCCAGCUGGGAUGUAUAACUCUUAACUUGAUUUCAUAAUUGGAUUGGACUGACUGCAUUGUUCUGUAAAUAAACUGGGUCUGUUGGGUCUUUUAAAGUGUCUUGAGGUGACAUUUGUUAUGAAUCUGAGUUAUAGUAGUAAACUAAGGAGAAUUAAAUGAACCACAGCAGGAAUAACAGGCAGACAUGGAGAUCAAAAGUUUAAUCCAACAAGGAGAGGACUAAGACGGGAAGCAGAGAAACCAAGAAGAGGGACUAUUGGGGGGGAGGGAGCAGGGUUGCAUCUGUUAGAGACUGAAGGAGCUGAGGGAAAAUGACUAAUUGGUGUGGAAUGAAUCCACUGGGGAAACGGUGAGAUCAGGGAAACGAAAUAAGCCUCUGAAACUUUAAGCAUGACCCGAAAUUAAAGUGAUCAAAAUAUUGAAAUGUAAGAAUGAAAAGCAACAAAAAAUAACCCAGAAGUUCAAACCAGAAUGACUCACUAAACUCCAACCACAUUUUAGCGGGACAGUUACUCUUAAAUGGACAGUAUUAUGACUUUUCCAGGCACAUGGUGUCAUUUUAUAACACAAUCAAGCAAGUGCAGAACCUUUGGCUGUUAUAAAAACGCUAUAAAUAUCACAUACGACUUAAAAGAAAUUUGACUUUGUAAUUUAGCGCUUUGAAAUUGGGUCUCUGUCUCUUCAAAAGCUUCUGCUCGUUCUGAAACUCCAUCUUCAGGAAGUCAUGACAACAUGGCUCCUCCAUUAACCCUUUAACAACAUUUUUACCAAAGUUUCACUGAGAAGAAGCUCCUAUGAUGAGCUCAGCUGAUGCCCAGUUCCACCAGGUGUUUGCUAACUGCUGCUGGCUAGUCUGAAGGGGCUGAGUGGGAGAGUCGAUGGUUAGGGCAGCCCUGCGAGGCGAAAGCUCGGAAACUGCAGCUCUGAGGGGGCGGAGCUAGGUCCACCCCUGCGAUUUGCACAACUGAAUGGUUGCCAUGGAGAUUAAAGGAUUUCUCAAACAUGCACGAAGGAAUCAAGGCAACGCUCCAGGUUUGUUUUUGACAUGAUAUAAAGCUAAACAAAAAAGUUGAUCUUGCAUGAUACCGCCCCUUUAAUAGAAAUGUUUUAUUCUCAAUACGUUUCACACAGCAAGAUCUUUGGUGCGGCGCCACUUCCUGUCUCUAUUUCCUGUUUAAAUAAUCUUUGACUUUGGUGUUCAAAAUGUCCCAAUGUAAACAUGACAAAUGUUUACAUGGUUCAUAAAACAGAAUUUGCGUAAACCACUCUAGAGUUCUUGAGACAGAGGUUGUUUUUAAUCUCGGCUCCUCUCUGAUGAACCGUUAGCUCGAGCCUCUUAGACUAGCUAAUCCGGAUUCACGACAAGAGAAGAUGCCGAAGAAGGCAAGACAUUAACUACUCAUUACUUCUCAGCAGAACCUCAUCUGAAAAAUUCUCCACUAUCCCUUUAAAGAUGCACUGUCCUUUCAGAAGCUGUGCUAUAAAUAUCUCUUUUUAACUCUUGAUCGUUCCUGUUUGGGUGUUUAUCUGAUGAACUAAAUUAAUUCUGGCUGAUUUUUAUUUUUUCUUUCUCACUCUUACGAGCGGAGUCUGCUUCGUUUUGUAAAGCUGGUAGCUUUAAGUGUGUGACUCAGCCUGACAGCUGUACAGAUGUGUGUGUGUGUGUGUGUGUUCCUGUGUUGGUGCCACGUUUAUAAAAAUGUGUUAAUUUGCCAUCUCUUAGUUCGUGAACCGAUCCGCUGUUUGGAAUGUGACGCGUCGCUACGACUUUCUCGCUUAUUCUUUCGCCCUGUGCAUAAAGCAAGUUUUGAAAUGGCAUAUACAGAAACGGUGCAACUCAGUAGUGUGCUUGUGUGCAUUCAGCUAGCCGGUUUUUCAAAAUCCUGACGUUUGCGUUUAAUCACUGGGUCUCUUCGGGGGUUUUGGGCUACAUGUCGGAAGUCCCAUUUCAUGUUAUUGUUUCUUUAAUUUAACUGGGAUUUUAAAAGGAAGUGACCCCCCCCAAAAAAAAAAAAACAAGACCAGCUCCCGUGUUGUUUGUAUUGCAGAAAGCAGGAUGGAUGUGCAGAGAGACGCUAAACAAAAACUGGACUCUGCGGACUGCUCGGAGCUGCAGGUUUAACUUGUCAUAGCAAGAGGAAGUGAUUAUAAACCGUAGCGCGGCUUCCUUCCCACGCAGGUUUCCCGCCUGCAAGCGGAGCAGCAGGCCAGGCUGUUUUCUAACUCGCUGGAAAGUACAAAGCAAGAAUAAACCAAGAUCAUUUCACCGUUUGGGUUUUUUUUGUUGUUGUUGUUGUAGUUUUUAAAGUUAAAAUUAUUGUCUGUUCAAAAGAAAAACUCAAUUAAAUGUUGCGAUCUACAGUAAAACAUACGGUUUACAGGGGAAAAAAGAAAACUUUUUUAAAAUAAAUUUGCACCAUUCAUACAUGGGAAAACUCACAUUCACAGCAAACAUCAUUUCAAUGCACUUUCCAAGACAAGCUGAUCCACUUUAUACGCAGACGUAGGUCCAAUUCAGUCAAACGCACGUAUUCGAAUUCAAUUCUGUCCUAGUUUUAAACACUUUGGUUCAUUUCAGGGGUAAAAAAAGACGUUUUGUUCAGACGUUGUCACUUAGGCCACAACUGUCAACAAAAAUAUGACGACGGGCCAAAAAAAAGUCAAAUUUUUAAUAACUAAAAUCGCCAGAAAUGUUACAUUUUUUUUAAGGUAUUUUAAUGAAACUCCAAAUUUUUUGUUGUUUUUUUAUGGGAACCAGAUCAUAGAUCUAGAACUUGCUAAAUGACGUCCAGCUUGCUUGUAAUUUUGAAGAAAAUCUACAAACAAAUGUAUCGGUUCUCAUCAGCCAAACAGGAUCUAAGUCAGUCUUCAUUUCAAAACACGUUUUUUUUUUUAAUGCAACAUUUAAAAGCAGGUUUGGGUGCACCAAAGUGAACUUCACAUGUCAAUGAGUGGAUGGGCUCCUGGUUACCAUGACAACAGGAGAAACUCAGAAAGCUUAGAAAAGACUAUCCCUUUGUGUUGCGUGUAACAUUUUUUUUUGUGAGCGGAUUUGAAUUUAUAGGUCACGGUUUUUGUCCUAAUUUGUUUAAUUUAUGUUUGGUCAGGGGAGCCGCGUAAAAAUCAGUCCAUCCGCCGCAGAACGGAGAGGAAAACAAACGCGGAAUCACCAAUUUUAUUUCUACAUUAAAUAAUAAUGAUUAUUAUUUUAUAGCAGUAGAAGCUCCUUCAGUGGUUUCACCGAGGAGAGAAAACGCCGCUCUGCAGAUGCACUUUGACCUGGUUCAUAAAAAGGUCUCCUGUGAAUUCUGCACUUGCAUUAAUAAUACGUGAUUUAAAUGUUUGUUGUUGUUUUGUUUUUUUUAUUUGAUUGCGGUAAGCUUUCAGAAAAUGUGACUCCAUAACAUCAGACGUGUGGCCAUCCAUCCAUCAUUUAUUGUCUGUGACUCUUCCAGUAGUCGGAGUCAAAAUGUGGACUCGGACAUUUCAGCAAUCCAUCACAGAGAGUCCUGCAGUCCACCUUAAUGGUCCACGGAGCAGUAUGUGUGGGGAUUUAGUUUUUUCGAGGAAACACCUCUGUACAGUCGCAUUUUAAAGCCUGUUAGACUUCACAGCCAGCCCAACCCGUCAUUACAUUAGGGUGGGGUCAGGCGCGGUCUGUUAACGACCACACCGAACCGGGAUGUGUCAUUCCACAGUCCCUCUCUGCGGCACCAGGCGCCGCCUGCUUCGGCCCGAGUCAGAAGAGGAGAAAAGGAAACAUGAACAUAUGCUGUGCGCUGCCUGGUCCUCUUGAGAGCUUGUCGACUUUUCUCCAGAACAUGUGAGGUCAUGUUGGCGUGUUCCCGCCGCAGCGACGCGGCUAUUAAUGUCCCGCUCAGCGUCAUCGCGCACGUCCUAAAGUGUUUCCGGUGUCAGUUGCUCGGCACCGCAGACGCGCUGCUUCCUCGCGGACGUUAAGCGGCUUUCAAACAAGCAGGAGGCGAUUCACGGUUCAGACAACAGCUGACGGUUUGUGCGCCGGUGGACAGACGGAGAAGUUCUCUUUCUUUUUCUGAAAACCGUCGCCUCUUUUUCUAAUCAAGAGCAACAACAUGUAGCUCUUGUGAUGUUACGUUAUUAACACUGCUUCUGUGUCCCUAAUUAAUACUUUUUUUUUUUGUUCUUUUUGCGGCACUUGAUGCCACGAAGUGUGUAAAGGUUUAGCGCAUUACUUUACAAAGAGCGCUUUUUAAAAUUGUUCCCAUUUUGUCAUGUUACAGCUACAGACCUCUGUAUUUCAUAUUGAUUUUCAGUGAAAGCAGCACGGGGUUUUCGCAUUAUUUUACGAGCAUAAAUCUGAAAAGUAUGGCAUGUAUUUUUGUCCAGACCACAUGAAUAAACACUACGUAGAACCGGCAUUUGCCAACAGCAGAUCUUUUGCCGCAUGCCUACCGGCAGCUUGCGCAAGUUGGAAUUACAAAAAUAAAUUUGCUUAAUGGCAACAUGGCAAUGUAAAAAAAAAAAAAA